This is a long non-coding RNA of Ailuropoda melanoleuca (giant panda), 7361 nucleotides long. RefSeq lists it as uncharacterized. The transcript is spliced from 3 exons. NCBI's taxonomy places the organism in Eukaryota, Metazoa, Chordata, Mammalia, Carnivora, Ursidae. The record is from RefSeq and is a predicted model, not a curated record.
GGGUCCUCGGAGUUGUGGCGCAGGCAUCCCACCUGCGCGCAGCCGAGGGUCAGGCGCGCACACGGAGCGAGGCCCUGCACCUGCCCCCGACUCUUGCUCACGAAACCUGCCGGACCGUCGGGCGGCUCACCCGUGACUUGCUUUCUUUUCAGCCUUCUGAAAACUGUUGCACUCCUGGAAGUGUUGCUCUCCUGUGCUUGUGCCGAAUUACUGAUGCGCUGGUCUAACUCCCCGGUGGACUGUGCACCUUGUGUUCAGAGCUUGACCAGCGCCUGGAACGCUGAAGUACCGGAGUCAAAAAAGAGCUGGUUGGUCUUUAAUUAGGAAAAUGGUGACCCUGGAAACUCCCAUCUGCUCAUUUCUCAUCUUAGUUCACAGUUCCCUUCCUUCUCCCUGUGCGUUCACUUGCUGUUCUUUUUCUGACUUCCGGGACUGGGAGCUGCGAGCCUCUCUCAGCAACUGUCCUGCUUCUGUCAUCUACGCGUCAGUGUUACACCGAUUUCUCCCAGCGAUGCUCAGCAGCGUCCACCGGCUGUGACGGGCCAUGUUGUGAUUACGUGUCAAUUACAAAUAUUUGCUAAUUUCCGCUGUUCUUCGGCUUCUCAGUAACGACCGAGAGGGCGAGGUGCAGCUGCUGUGCUUGCCUUCCGUUGCUGACUCCAGGGGAAUCGCGUUGUGUGGGCAAACAUACGUCCUCACAGCUUAGUCCUACAGCAGCUGGCACACAGCUAAGGACCUCUGGACACGCAGAAGACCUCACCACAAGCUCCAUGUGGGCUCUGAGGGUGCGUUGCAGCCCGGGGUCCCUGCUUGCCAGGCGGGAAGGGCUCACGGCCAGAGCUCCGCCAUCAGCACCUGCUCCCGGAUGUGAGGUCCUUUCCGGCGUGGUGAGCUGCAAACAAACGUACCCAAAAGUGUGUGUUUCAGAUGUCUGUAUUCCAGGAGUGAAAUGACUGGGUCAUACGGAAAAUUUUACUGAACAGAAUCUCAUUAAUCCUUUCUCCUAUGGUUUUUCUAUAAAUACUGCUGACCAGCUUGACAAUAUUGACAUUCGUAGAUGACCCCACCUGACAGCAAGGAAAUGCAUUUUUCUCAAGUUGAAAAAUUCACCAAGAUAAAUGAUGUUCUGGGCCAUUAAUCUAAUCCUAAAGCUGGUAAAAUAAUAGAAAACACACAAAUAUGUUCUCAGAUAUAACAAAACUGACUGGAAAUAAAAACCAAAAUUAUAUUUGGAAAAUCCCUAAAGAUAUGGACACCCAAGAGUACAUGACUACAUACCCUUGGGUCAAAAGAGAAAUCCCACAAUAAAUUAAAACUAUUUUAAACUGAAUAAAAAUACAUUGGAAAACUUGCAGGAUGUAACUAACCCAGUGCUUGGAGGGAAAUUUAGAUUAUAAAAUGUAUGUAUUAGAAUAUAGGAACCAUUUAAAAUCAGUAAUAUUAAAAAUUACAGGAAAAUUAAACAUAUUUCCAUGGACAACAAUGAACAUUUAGAACUUGAAUUUUAAAAAUACCAUUUACAAUAGCACCAAAACAAAUGGAGUACGUGGAUAUGAAUAUCACAAAAUAGGUGGGGCAUCUACCCUGAAAACACAGAACGCUGUGAAAGAAAUACAAAGGAUCUCGGUAAAUGGAGCAAAGCCUUGCAUCGGAUUAGAAGACUCAGCAUUUCAAAGAUGUCCAUUUUCCCAGUUCCCCCCAACUGGGUCAGUACAAUCUCAGUCAAAUUCCAGCACGGCUGUUCUGGAGACAACAAACCGAAUCGGAAACUCAUAAAGCAAGGCAAAGAGCUACAGUAGCCACAAGAACUCUGAGAGGCAGCAAGCGAAGAAGCGGCGACGUCGUAGGGCCCGCGUGGGGCUCGCUACACGGCUGCGGUGGUGACGGGCGGGGGUCUGCGGUGGGAGGGCCCAGGCGGGGCUGCACACCCACGGCGGCGGCGAGGGACCUCCGCACAGGCGCGAAGGCAUGCUCUGCUGAGAAGGCUGGGCUCCCAAUUCUUGCUGUUGGAAUGCUCAAACGUUCACAUGCAAAAAAACCAAAAAAAUGGACCCGUAUUUUGCCCAAAAUACAAACAAUAAUUCCCAAUGAAUGAUAGACCUAAAUGUAAAAUGAAAAAUUACAAAACUUCCAAAACAAAGCACCAGAGGAAAUCUGCAUGGCCUUGGUUCUGGGGAUGAGUUCGUAGAUAUGUGUCAUAGCAAAAGCAUGAACCAUAAAAGAAAAUUUUGUUAAAUUUGACUUAAUAAAAAAAUUUUUUAAAAACUUUUGCUUUGCAAAAGACACUGUAAAUAUCAUGAAAAGAUAAGCCUGGGACUUGGAAAAACGAUUUGCCAAUUACAAAUCUAAUAAAGGACUUGUAUCCAGAACUCUGUCCCUCUCCCUCCCUCUCUGCCUUCCUCUCCCUCUCCCCCGCACCCCCCCCCCAGCAAUAAGUAUUGCUAAAAUCCACUUUCUUCAAAGUGCCAAUGCCAAAUGCUGGUGCGGGUGUGGGGCCGCAGGCACUCUAGGUCUGUGCUGGCGGGACAGCGGAAGCAGUAGUGCCAGCCUGGAUGACAGCUUGCUCUUUCCUGUGACGACCAACACGGGCUCACCGCACGGCCCAGAAAGCCGAGAGCUGCAUCGUCACCUAAGUGCAUGGAAAACUUACAUUCCCACAAAAAGCUGUUUAUAAACCUUUCUAUCUACUUUAUAACACCUCGGAUGGGAAACAGCCAAGUUGUCCUUUAACAGAGAUUGGAUAAGCAGCGGUCUGCUCGCCCGGCAGAACAAGGCUCUGAAAAGGAGUGAGCAGUUGAUCCAGGAAGCUGCGUGAGCCUCAGCUCCGUUUUGGUGAGUGAGAGAAGCCAGACCCCAGGACUACAGAUUGCAUUUUUCCAUCUAUAUGGCAUUCUGGAGGAGGCGAAAAAUAUAGGGAUGGAAAGGAGAUCAGUGGUUUCUCAGGGUUUGGGAAGGCGUUAAGUACAGACAGGCCAAGCAGGGGAAUGCUUGGAGCAGUGGAAUCGUCCCUGUGGUGCUGGGUGCUGGGUACAUGACUACUAUUCGUCAAAUGCCGUAGAAAUGCACAAGUAAAAUUUAUUGCAUGCAAAGUUAAAAAAAUCCACCAGGACUUGAAGGGAGCCAAGAUGGAAAGCAGACUCUGACAGACUAAUCUAACUGUAUUACAAAUGAUAACCCAGCUCACAGCGUUGGCUGUGGAACUCUGGAAGAGAUGGUGGGAAGAGUCUGGCAGUGAAUUAGGUCACGACAACCUGAGGGGCUGUCAGGUCAGCCGCGUGGUGGCGCCAGAGGAUCUCAGGCGAAACCUUGCAGACACAUGAAAUUACCUAUUACCUGGUUGGAUGGGCCACUCGGGCAGCAUGGGUGAGGACAUUUUACUAAACUUGCUGAGAGUGGAUUAGUAGCAAAACCGAGAAAAUGGGAAACGCACCAGAGCCCGGGCCCCAGGGCUCCUUUGAGGGUCGCAUAGAAUCACUCGGGAUUACGAGGUUUGAUGACAUCCUGGUCAUUGAUUUUUCUCGGACUGAUUGGAACUUUGACUUGUCAGAGAUCUACGGACUGUCAGUAAAAAAGGCAACAACGUGAGUACAUGUGAUCGUAUUGGUUCACUCCACGCAGAACAAGUCAAUCUCCCCAUGGUUGCUGGACUGUCAUUACAGAGCUCUGAAUGCGACCUGUCACGUGGACGCCCACCACCCUCCUUGGCUAGAGAUGCCCACCGGUCUGCAGAGUUCACACCACCUGCAUACUCGGUGCUCUUCAGUCUCCUCGAUGGAGAACGGUCAGGCUCAUGACCCUCCGGCAGCCAUGAACUCUCACCACAGGAGCUCGUCCAGGUUUCCCUAUCAUGUAAGGGGUUCACCUCCCAAUUUUCAACUUGACCUUACUUCAGGCACACAAAGCAAAGUCCUUCAAAGAGUUCUGUGUGUUAUGCUCAGUCUGCUAGCCAAUGGUUACAGUCUGCCUUUCCUCCCAUAUGCUCCAAAGAAGCUUCUACUAACUAGAACUUGGAGAUCUUGUCUUAUUGAACAAGUGAAAAGAAAAGAACAGGACUUGAACCCAAGCUGGAAACAACUCCGUCAGUUGCCAACAAUCGCAAGCAGAGCAGUUGGACUCCAGAGCCUAGACCCCUGGCACUUGUCUCCCAGAUGAAGAGCCAGAGGGUUUGGUCCUGAAUCCCUUGGACCACCUUCCCAAGGAAAUUUUAGGGUGGAACAGAUGAUUUUGGGAAGAAGACACCUUACCCCCAAGACCUUCAGAUGAAGGAUAAAUUUGUAAGAAGUAAAUAGUUUCCAACCAGGAUCCACUGAGUAUUUUCCAGAAGGCUGGAUCUAGAGACUGUCAUGUUUUAAUCUGCAUGUUUUUAAUCUCAAUUUUUAUGUGGAUUUUCAUUACUUUUUGCUUGUGCAAGAUUCUGUAUUGUUAACAGACACUAGUUACCUCUCAACGAUGAUGCCUGUUAACGUUCUUGUCGGUAAUAUGCCUUUCUCAUCCCAUCACUUCUUGUUAUGGGUCUGCUUUCUGGUUUAAACAGUCUCAUAGUUCAGUUGACUCCUACAAUCUAAACAACUCAGGUUUAUUCUCACUUCCCUCGGGUGCCAUCCAGGCUCUUCUGGUGUCUGGUAAUGAAUCUGUAGGUUUCCAGCGUAUCUCUGCUCAACCCUGCAGAGACAUUUUAGAGGCAGCAUUAGUGAUUGUUUUAAGAAAUUCCUGUAAACCAGUUUAUCAAGAGGAACAGUUUGCUCAUCUGAACUAAAGUCGCUAGCAUGGGCAAGGCACUCAUUUGUCAAGUAGCAGCGUUCACACGAAGACUCCUGUCACAACUCUUGCUUCAGUGUGUCACCAACGCUAAGUUAGCACAUCACAAACUGUCCAGCCCCAGGCACUGAGACCGAUACGGUCUUUCUCCUUCUGACACCGUAAAGUUAGACUGCCAGGUGGGAUCUCUCGUAUGACAGUAAAUCAGAUAAACUCAGCUUUGCUUCAUCAAAAAUGUGUCAUCUUGUGUGGAAGUGAUAAUCAACACAUAAUUCUCACAAAACUGUUAAUUUAGGUGAUUUUCACGGCAUGGAUUGGGUCGCUUUUUAUUUUUAUUCCUUCCGUUAUGAUUUUGCUUUCUCUGAGACUCAUCUCUAUAGAGAGAAGGGUUGUGGAGUUCCGGGUGUUCUGACCAUCCCUGGAGAAACCUUAAAUCCCAAAGAUUCUUAAGGAGCUACAAUAUACAUUUUUUAUUGUUUUCGUUUACUGAUUACUUCUCAUAGCAUACAUGUGUGUACACGUCUCACAGUCAUUGUGUGUUGUAUGCAAAAGCAGAUUUCUCUUUUCUGUCUUCCUGACAAGCCUUUCCCUGGAAGCUCCAUGCGUUGGUCCUGCGAGCGUGUGUGUUGGCGUAUCUGUGUGACGGGCGGGGUGCUAGAGGCAUUAGCCUUCUUUUGCAAAUGAAGAAUACAAGGCUCGAAAGGUUACAUAACUUGCUCAAGGACACACAAUUAGUUGAAGAACUAGAAUUCAUACUUUUUGAAGACCUGACAAAAUUUGAAAAGAAUUCAGAAAUUUAACUUAAAUUUAUGUAAAACUCAAAUUCAAUGGAAAUGUAUUGAAUAGACCUUACUUAUUAGAUCUCAUUCAGGAACUUCCAGUAGAUCCAAAAAUACUGAAAUUACAUGGAGUAAUGUCUUUUUGGGUAACUGAAUAUUUAAUAGCAGUACUGAGAUAUACUGCACAUACCACACACAUCAAUAUUUUAAUAGCAGCAUUGAGCUAUAAUGCAUACGCCAUCCAAGUCAAUGUUUUUAGCAUACGCUCAGGCUUCUGCAACCACAACCACAAUGUAACUUUGGAACAUUUUUAUUCUUAAAGAGCCAAUGCCCAUGAGCAUCCGUUCCACUCCCCCCAGAGCCCUCCCCUCCAGCCCCUUCGACCACUAAUCUAUUCUGCGUCUCUGCAGAUCUGUCUACUCUGAGCAUUUCAUACAAACGUCAUCUUAUAAUCCAUGGUCUUUGUUUCUGGCCUCUCUCACUUAGUGUCAUGUUCUCAAGGUUCACCGACAUUUAUAGCCUGCAUCAUAGUUCAUUUGUCUUCAUUGGACUGAUUUUUUAAAAAAUCUUUCCAAACUUUGUAUUUGCCCUAAGCAUGUUACUGACUGAAUUCAUGAAACCUUUGAAACACUUUUUAAGAAAAGUCUCAAGUUGCUAUUAUCAGAAAGAAUAAUACACAGCAUUGGAAAAGAAUUUGUCCAUAAAUAAAAUCUCUUUGAAAAGCCCAAUUGCUGGAAGUGAAAAUGCCUAACGGAGAAGUAACAUGGGAUAGAGAGACACUAACUUACACUCCAUUUCGUGGUGAGAAAGAGAAGACGCUUAUUAGGAGAAGCAAUUCCUGAUCACACGUAAAAGGACAUAAACGCUCCUCACAGAGCACCUUGAAGAGGACCCAUGAUAAUAUUUAUUAAGUAUACGCACGGGAAGCAGAUUUUUCUUUGGGAGGCAAAAUGUUUAAAUCCAUGCAUGUCCUAAGAAUUACAGUUUUACUGGGGAAACAAACUUUAUAGAAAUACCAGUAGGAGAAAUUAAAGAGGGGAUGAAGGGGUUACGUGGAGGCUACGGGUUUCCUGGUGCUCCCCCCACCCCGCAAUUCCACGUCUUGUGGUUGUUCCCUGACCCUCUAGGACAAGUGAGAACGUACCAAACUUGUCUCCAAAUGGGUUAAUGCAUUUCCCAGACCUCUUUCACUCAGUCUAAAUAUAGAACCACAGGAGUGUGGGGAAUGUUCUGACGCACAUCAGAAAAUAUUGGUUUAAUCUUCAGAUUCACUCUUGAAUCUUGGACAAGUGGCUUGAGGUCUCUGACCCUCAAAUUCCUCAUUUAUGAAAUAGAGGCAGCGGUUGAGGACUUGCAGGCCUCUUGUGAUGACUAAUUAGUGCGGUGAAUUCCUAGGCGAGGCCUGGCUUGCCGUGCACCCUCCAUGCAGGGCCCUUGACGUCCCUCCCAGGCCUGCUGCUCUCCGAGACAGAGGCAGCUUAAGAAAAGGAGAUUUUAAAUUUCUCACCUGCAACUUCAACAAGAAACCGUAAGCACAUAUGGUUUCCAUCUCACGUGGAGGAGCCACGGGUCAUAAUUAACUCUCGUUUCGGCACAGUGAGCUGCUAAUGUGAGCUCCAGCUUCUCGUGUGGUGGUUAACAGAGAAGGUCCUGCAUCUGUCCACCCCCUGAACCAGCUGUUCCAAGGCUUCAGAAGCCCAUGACUUAGGGAAGUUACCCAGUCUCUACUGUUGCAACGCGACGCUUUUGGGCAUGAAGCUGAGAAGUUCGUUUGAAAAAGAAGGAUGGGGGGCGCCUGGGUGGCACAGCGGUUGGGCGUCUGCC